GCCCCCGUAGCUUAGCUGGGAGUCAAAUGCCCUACAGCGCUCGGCUGAAGACCGAGUUGUCGUGGGUUCAAGUCCCACCGGGGGCACCA
RNAcentral lists this transfer RNA (89 nucleotides) under Candidatus Jordarchaeales archaeon. RNAcentral's name for it is "tRNA-Phe". It matches the Rfam family "tRNA". Rfam says of the family: Transfer RNA (tRNA) molecules are approximately 80 nucleotides in length. Their secondary structure includes four short double-helical elements and three loops (D, anti-codon, and T loops). Further hydrogen bonds mediate the characteristic L-shaped molecular structure. tRNAs have two regions of fundamental functional importance: the anti-codon, which is responsible for specific mRNA codon recognition, and the 3' end, to which the tRNAs corresponding amino acid is attached (by aminoacyl-tRNA synthetases). tRNAs cope with the degeneracy of the genetic code in two manners: having more than one tRNA (with a specific anti-codon) for a particular amino acid; and 'wobble' base-pairing, i.e. permitting non-standard base-pairing at the 3rd anti-codon position. RNAcentral also lists the same sequence under 1 other name. Lineage: Archaea; Promethearchaeati; Candidatus Jordarchaeia; Candidatus Jordarchaeales. The record is from RNAcentral.